Macrobrachium nipponense is the source of this 955-nucleotide long non-coding RNA. RefSeq lists it as uncharacterized. The transcript is spliced from 3 exons. The record is from RefSeq and is a predicted model, not a curated record. Lineage: Eukaryota; Metazoa; Arthropoda; Malacostraca; Decapoda; Palaemonidae.
AUGCGGUCAAACGAAUUUCUUCCGCAUAGUUGUUACUGACUGUGUCGGUCCUGGAAGAAAGGAAUUUUCGAAAGUAUUUCUCGUAGUGCCGUGUAUUUUCGGUUUUGGGGGAUUCACAGUUGUCCAAGAUUGGAGCAACUUGAUCUGAAAUGGGCCUUGAAACUGAAGAUUCUGGGGAACUGGGUUAUUAUAAGUCUGUCAUUUAGGCUGUUGUUAGAGCCUGGCUAAGUUCUAAUGCCAAUUGUUGAGAACAAGAAAUAUCUCGGGAAACUAACUGGAGGAGUAACUGGAAUGUCUUGUAGGGUUGAAAUUAGUCCUAGCCUCAGAGAAAAUUAUAAUGGGCUGACUCAGCACGAAGAUGCAUUUACAGAUUCGGAUAUUCGCCAAGUCCUAUUGGAUUAAGUGCUACAAAGAGUUCCUAGUGGGUCAAAUUGAAGGUCUGCUGCAGAAAAUAUAUUAACUCUAACCUAAUUUUGAAAGAAAUGCCAUCUUUGUUCGUGUUGCUGGUUAUGCAAAACAAAUGGAACUUUAAAUAGCUACAGUUUCUUUACUAGACUUUACUUGAGUGUUAUGAAUCACUUACAAGAAUUAUCAAUAUUUGAUAUAAUUAGAAACUAUAUCUUCAUUCUAAGAAUAUUAUAAAUUUGAUGUAAUUUUUUGGAACAUAAGCAUUAUGCAAGUUAAGACAUUUUUCAUAGAUUUUACCAUAAUCCUUUUAUAAAUAGAACAAAAAAUUAAUUUUCGAAAACUACAUUAUUAAACAUUGCAGUGAGAUUAAAUCCUGUAAGCAUAAUUGAAAUGUCUGUUAGUGUUUCGUGAUGGUAAAAAAUCAAGGCUUGAUAGCAAUGUGCAGUUAACCCAAAUUGUUGAUGUUAUUUAUUUCUUUGUUAACUGUUAUUCCAGUCAAUCAUUACACUACACCUGACAGUCCUAGCUGAACUUGUGCUCACAUCUG